GCGGACUGGUGAGUAACGCGUAAGCAAUCUGCCUAUCAGAGGGGAAUAACAGUGAGAAAUCACUGCUAAUACCGCAUAAGCUGUGAGUAUCGCAUGAUACAAGCAGAAAAGGAGCAAUCCGCUGAUAGAUGGGCUUGCGUCUGAUUAGAUAGUUGGUGGGGUAACGGCCUACCAAGUCGACGAUCAGUAGCCGGACUGAGAGGUUGAACGGCCACAUUGGGACUGAGAUACGGCCCAGACUCCUACGGGAGGCAGCAGUCGGGAAUAUUGCGCAAUGGAGGAAACUCUGACGCAGUGACGCCGCGUGCAGGAAGAAGGUUUUCGGAUUGUAAACUGCUUUAGACAGGGAAGAUACAAGACAGUACCUGUAGAAUAAGCUCCGGCUAACUACGUGCCAGCAGCCGCGGUAAUACGUAGGGAGCAAGCGUUAUCCGGAUUUAUUGGGUGUAAAGAGUGCGUAGACGGGAAGUUAAGUUAGUUGUGAAAUCCCUCGGCUUAACUGAGGAACUGCAACUAAAACUGGUUUUCUUGAGUGCUGGAGAGGAAAGUGGAAUUCCUAGUGUAGCGGUGAAAUGCGUAGAUAUUAGGAGGAACACCAGUGGCGAAGGCGACUUUCUGGACAGUAACUGACGUUGAGGCACGAAAGUGUGGGGAGCAAACAGGAUUAGAUACCCUGGUAGUCCACACCGUAAACGAUGGAUACUAGGUGUAGGAUGUGAUAAACAUUCUGUGCCGUCGCAAACGCAGUA
Molecule: ribosomal RNA, 749 nt
Filed under: uncultured bacterium
Lineage: Bacteria
Description: bacterial SSU rRNA
Rfam family: Bacterial small subunit ribosomal RNA
Source: RNAcentral